Molecule: transfer RNA, 87 nt
Filed under: Planctomycetota bacterium
Lineage: Bacteria; Pseudomonadati; Planctomycetota
Description: Planctomycetes bacterium (bioreactor metagenome) tRNA-Ser
Rfam family: tRNA
About the family: Transfer RNA (tRNA) molecules are approximately 80 nucleotides in length. Their secondary structure includes four short double-helical elements and three loops (D, anti-codon, and T loops).
Source: RNAcentral
GGAGAGGUGCCAGAGCGGUUGAAUGGGCCGGUCUCGAAAACCGGUGAGGCCUCCGGGUCUCCGUGGGUUCGAAUCCCACCCUCUCCG